RNAcentral lists this transfer RNA (74 nucleotides) under Bacteriophage sp. Its description in RNAcentral is "tRNA-Lys". It matches the Rfam family "tRNA". Rfam says of the family: Transfer RNA (tRNA) molecules are approximately 80 nucleotides in length. Their secondary structure includes four short double-helical elements and three loops (D, anti-codon, and T loops). Further hydrogen bonds mediate the characteristic L-shaped molecular structure. tRNAs have two regions of fundamental functional importance: the anti-codon, which is responsible for specific mRNA codon recognition, and the 3' end, to which the tRNAs corresponding amino acid is attached (by aminoacyl-tRNA synthetases). tRNAs cope with the degeneracy of the genetic code in two manners: having more than one tRNA (with a specific anti-codon) for a particular amino acid; and 'wobble' base-pairing, i.e. permitting non-standard base-pairing at the 3rd anti-codon position. The record is from RNAcentral.
GGGUCUGUAGCUUAGUGGUAAAGCAGUAGACUUUUAAUCUAUGGACGGGGGUUCGAUUCUCCCCAGACCCACCA